RNAcentral lists this ribosomal RNA (407 nucleotides) under Clostridioides difficile. RNAcentral's name for it is "bacterial SSU rRNA". It matches the Rfam family "Bacterial small subunit ribosomal RNA", at positions 1136 to 1533 of the family's 1533-position model. The record is from RNAcentral. Lineage: Bacteria; Bacillati; Bacillota; Clostridia; Peptostreptococcales; Peptostreptococcaceae.
CACUCUAGAGAGACUGCCAGGGAUAACCUGGAGGAAGGUGGGGAUGACGUCAAAUCAUCAUGCCCCUUAUGCUUAGGGCUACACACGUGCUACAAUGGGUAGUACAGAGGGUUGCCAAGCCGUAAGGUGGAGCAAAUCCCUUAAAGCUACUCUCAGUUCGGAUUGUAGGCUGAAACUCGCCUACAUGAAGCUGGAGUUACUAGUAAUCGCAGAUCAGAAUGCUGCGGAGAAUGCGUUCCCGGGGCUUGUACACACCGCCCGUCACACCACGGGAGUUGGAGACGCCCGAAGCCGAUUAUCUAACCUUUUGGAAGAAGUCGUCGAAGGUGGAAUCAAUAACUGGGGUGAAGUCGUAACAAGGUAGCCUUAUCGGAAGGUGCGGCUGGAUCACCUCCUUUCUAAGGAGA